CUACAUGAAUGUAUUUAUCACAAUAAAAUAAGUCGAGUUAGUCUCGUCAUCCAUCUCGCCCAAGCUUUUCUUACUGAAUGCAAUGUCCAGCGUGGCAAACUGACCCAUCCAUCUAUAUAAAACCAAGUCCCUUCGAAGCAAGUAAAUAAGCAAGUCAACAACAAACUAUUCUUAAUGAAUUUAGGGUAGACUACGCGACUCUGUUGGGCUCAAAAUUUGAGAUACACGGGCUAAUAAUUGCAUAAAAAGUAAUCUGGAUUACCAUGCUAGCCCAUCAAUUCAGCAACAUCAAACCAAUUUUUUUACCAGGUUGAAAAAAGAGAAGAAAAGAGGUCCAUACAAAACCCUAACUGCACAUACUGCCCAAAUCUGGGGAACCUCAAGGUGUUUGAUGAAUUAAUAGUGCAUUCAUCCUAGAAAUGUAAAUUCGAUUGCUAGAAUCUGUACAUGAUGGCUCAUUUCAGGCAUGAGAUAGCCAUAACACAGAUUGGGAUUUUCGACUUGCAGCAGGCUGGUCGAGUUCGUCCAAAAUCAAGUUGUAGCAGACUAUGACAAUUCGACAUCAGCCACCUUAGAAUUAUUCGUGAUCACCAGACUUCGUCAUUGUCCUGCAGAUGUUCCCAGUAAGCCAGUAAUAUCCUGACAAUGGCGCAGAGUUGCCCUUAUGGCCUCUAACAUUUCAUUGAUGUUUAUACGUCUCCUGCA
RNAcentral lists this long non-coding RNA (705 nucleotides) under Olea europaea subsp. europaea. The record is from RNAcentral. Lineage: Eukaryota; Viridiplantae; Streptophyta; Magnoliopsida; Lamiales; Oleaceae.